Non-coding RNA from Clostridium sp. CAG:221, 89 nucleotides. The record is from Rfam. NCBI's taxonomy places the organism in Bacteria, Bacillati, Bacillota, Clostridia, Eubacteriales, Clostridiaceae.
UGGGUAGUAUUUAUAAGAAACUGCACCAUAUUUAAUUUAUUUAGAAAUUUAAAAAGGCAGCUCAUAUCAAUUUUUGAAUGAGACUAAGA